AUGGCAGAGGCAGGGCAGCAUCCCCAGUGGCAACAGGCCCAUUUGGAGCAGAGGUGCCUUUUUUCCCUGGAGACAGGAUUGGCAAUAAUUGCCAACACCUUCUGCCUGGGAAUAGAGAUUUGCAGAUCUUCUUCAGGCUGCAACAGCAGCUAUUCCAGUCAGCAGCCUACAGCCACCUCCAGAUGGGUACCUCUGCAAACCCUUCAGGGGUUGGAAUCCAACAGUCAUCAAGGGUGGGCACAAGGAGAGCUGCCCUUCACCUCCUGCCAAGUCUGUGCCAGUGACUUGGAGAGUCCUGAGUCUGCCAGCUCCUCAUCUGGGAUGCACGAGGGCAUCAUUGUCUCCAGGGCAAUGCCACAGUGCCCCUCAGCCCUGACCCCCAGGGUGCCCGAGGGAGCCAGCAAGUGAAUGCAGGCACAGGAAGGAUUCUCUGCUGAACUGUGGGCACAGGAACUCUGGCCAUCACCUGCUGCUCUCAGCAGCCAGCACACACCUUGGACGUGCAGCUCAGCCUGUGGGAUCAGUGCUGGGAUGGGGAAAGUGGAAGCUGUGGGUCUGCAGUGGGAUGUGUCUGUGCUGCUGACAGCUGCUGUCUCCCAGGAGCUCUGUGCCAUUUGAGCAGAGAAUCAUUGCAGAGGCAGAUAAAAUAGCCAAGGGCAAACACAGCCCUUUGCAGCUCUUCUCUCACCCCCUCCAAAAGCAAUAUGACAUUUCCAGUGCUCUUAGCUCUGCCUGGUGGUACAGACCCACCUGCAGGAGCCAGCACCAAACUCCUCUGCAGCAGGGAGGAGAGCAAUGAAGCCUUCAGAGAAUCACAAAGGUUGGAAAAGACCUUCAAGAUCAUCAGGUCCAAGCAUUAAUCCAGCACUGCUCCCUCAGAUGCUGGAGGAGUCAGGGCCAGGCACCCAGACCCAUGUUCUGGUAUCCAGGAGAGGGGUGCCCUGCAGGUGAGGAGGAGUAGGGGAGGUUUUAGUGGCAGCUACAGCAUGAGGAGCAUUUCAAACACUUGGAGCCUCAGCUCUCAACAAGAACCAGGUACCCAGUGCAUGGGAGAACUUGAUCCUGGCACUCUCCAAAGGGAUGAUGGCAUUCCAGCAUUGAGGAGCCUGAAGAUAAAUAAGCAGAUGCAAUUCCAGGCAGUCACCUUCCCAGUUUGCUGCAGGCCUGCUGUUCCAGGUGCCUUGCAUGGCUGCACACAGGCUGCUGGCCUGGCAGAGUGGCCAAUCAAUCAACCAUUUCAAUUGUUUCACUGAUUUAUUGAUGUCCCUGCACUACCACAGGGGCCGUGACCCCUCCUGCAGCAAGAGGAACCAGAUCAUGGUAGUUACAGACAAUACCAGAGUGGUCAAACUGGAAACAGCUGACCCCAGGGCUUGCCUGUGCAAACCCAUUUAACUCCAGGCAUUUU
RNAcentral lists this long non-coding RNA (1408 nucleotides) under Cyanistes caeruleus (blue tit). Its description in RNAcentral is "lncRNA (ENSCCEG00000003574.1)". The record is from RNAcentral. Lineage: Eukaryota; Metazoa; Chordata; Aves; Passeriformes; Paridae.